RNAcentral lists this ribosomal RNA (602 nucleotides) under Klebsiella michiganensis. RNAcentral's name for it is "bacterial SSU rRNA". It matches the Rfam family "Bacterial small subunit ribosomal RNA", at positions 1 to 594 of the family's 1533-position model. The record is from RNAcentral. Lineage: Bacteria; Pseudomonadati; Pseudomonadota; Gammaproteobacteria; Enterobacterales; Enterobacteriaceae. RNAcentral also lists the same sequence under 2 other names.
AAAUUGAAGAGUUUGAUCAUGGCUCAGAUUGAACGCUGGCGGCAGGCCUAACACAUGCAAGUCGAACGGUAGCACAGAGAGCUUGCUCUCGGGUGACGAGUGGCGGACGGGUGAGUAAUGUCUGGGAAACUGCCUGAUGGAGGGGGAUAACUACUGGAAACGGUAGCUAAUACCGCAUAACGUCGCAAGACCAAAGAGGGGGACCUUCGGGCCUCUUGCCAUCAGAUGUGCCCAGAUGGGAUUAGCUAGUAGGUGGGGUAACGGCUCACCUAGGCGACGAUCCCUAGCUGGUCUGAGAGGAUGACCAGCCACACUGGAACUGAGACACGGUCCAGACUCCUACGGGAGGCAGCAGUGGGGAAUAUUGCACAAUGGGCGCAAGCCUGAUGCAGCCAUGCCGCGUGUAUGAAGAAGGCCUUCGGGUUGUAAAGUACUUUCAGCGGGGAGGAAGGCGAUAAGGUUAAUAACCUUGUCGAUUGACGUUACCCGCAGAAGAAGCACCGGCUAACUCCGUGCCAGCAGCCGCGGUAAUACGGAGGGUGCAAGCGUUAAUCGGAAUUACUGGGCGUAAAGCGCACGCAGGCGGUCUGUCAAGUCGGAUG